CCUACGGGUGGCAGCAGUCGAGAAUCAUUCACAAUGGGGGAAACCCUGAUGGUGCGACGCCGCGUGGGGGAAUGAAGGUCUUCGGAUUGUAAACCCCUGUCAUGGGGGAGCAAAUGAAAAUAAUAGUACCACAAGAGGAAGAUACAUCUAACUCUGUGCCAGCAGCAGCGGUAAUACAGAGGGCGCAAGCGUUGUUCGGAAUCACUGGGCGUAAAGUGGGCGUAGGCGGUUUCGUAAGGCGUGUGUGAAAGGCGAGGGCUCAACCCGCGGACGGCACAUGAUACUGCGAGACUAGAGUAAUGGAGGGGGAACCGGAAUUCUCGGUGUAGCAGUGAAAUGCGUAGAUA
This 347-nucleotide ribosomal RNA is filed under the name uncultured bacterium. RNAcentral describes it as "partial 16S ribosomal RNA". It matches the Rfam family "Bacterial small subunit ribosomal RNA", at positions 338 to 696 of the family's 1533-position model. The record is from RNAcentral.